GGUGCCAUCGUCUAGCGGUCAGGAUGCUUGGCUCUUACCCAUGAGAUGAAGGUUCGAAUCCUUCUGGCACCACCA
This 75-nucleotide transfer RNA is filed under the name Trueperaceae bacterium. Its description in RNAcentral is "tRNA-Lys". It matches the Rfam family "tRNA". Rfam says of the family: Transfer RNA (tRNA) molecules are approximately 80 nucleotides in length. Lineage: Bacteria; Thermotogati; Deinococcota; Deinococci; Trueperales; Trueperaceae. The record is from RNAcentral.